RNAcentral lists this ribosomal RNA (305 nucleotides) under uncultured bacterium. RNAcentral's name for it is "bacterial SSU rRNA". It matches the Rfam family "Bacterial small subunit ribosomal RNA", at positions 332 to 656 of the family's 1533-position model. The record is from RNAcentral.
CUGACCUACGGGAGGCAGCAGUGGGGGAUAUUGCACAAUGGGGGAAACCCUGAUGCAGCGACGCCGCGUGGGUGAAGAAGCGCCUCGGCGCGUAAAGCCCUGUCAGCAGGGAAGAAAAUGACGGUACCUGACUAAGAAGCCCCGGCUAACUACGUGCCAGCAGCCGCGGUAAUACGUAGGGGGCAAGCGUUAUCCGGAUUUACUGGGUGUAAAGGGAGCGUAGACGGCAGCGCAAGUCUGGAGUGAAAUGCCGGGGCUCAACCCCGGAACUGCUUUGGAAACUGUGCAGCUAGAGUGCGGGAGAG